AACUCCCAGACGUCAGACGGAGAAAAUGGAGCCGGGUGGGAAUGUACCAUGCUCUACAAUUUUUUUUUCUGUCCUUGUGUUUUUGAUCUUGUUGCUAACUCUACUCGUCUUUUUUAUUAUUAUUGUUGCAGACUAUUCGUUCCUGGAACUUGUGGAUCAUUUCCAUAGAGACUCACUGAUCAACUCACCGCCUCUUGGUUGCUACCCAACUAUUCUGUUCGGUUCUACUGUGAACGUCCCUGGAGUGCCGAAAAGUUCUUGUUUUCAGACCUCUGCUUCUCCGGUUUAGAGAUUCAGAUCUAAAUAUUAUCAUCGCUAA
This 319-nucleotide long non-coding RNA is filed under the name Zostera marina. RNAcentral describes it as "long non-coding RNA (ZMAR_LNC001907)". The record is from RNAcentral. Lineage: Eukaryota; Viridiplantae; Streptophyta; Magnoliopsida; Alismatales; Zosteraceae.